UUUCACAUUAUUUAUCAUGAGUGCAGUGCGACUUAUUUUAUAGCUGAAGAGUUUGAGACCUGCUGAUGUUUCAUCAACAGGACUUUAUGUUCACUGUGUUUAUCUCCUCUGGGUGUUUAUCCACACCUCAGCACCUAGAUGGCGAUGUUACUUCAUUACCUAAGAGGAGAGAAACGCUCCCAGUUUUCCAUUUAGAUCUACAUCCCUGCCUUUACGCUUAUUCCAGUGUUGUAGUGAAGACCACCUCAGUCAAGCCCAAGGCAAGACUAGAAACAGACACUAAGAGAAUUAGGAGGUGUAGCAGGAGCCGGGAAUUCACAGUGAAAAGUGCGGGACAGCAGGAAAACGCCCAGCUGGGGAGCCUCUAUAAAUUCUCUGAUGACUCUGCCAUUGUUGGCUACAUCUCAAAUGACGAUGAAAGGGAAUACAGAGAGGUUACAAGGGAUUUUGUGGACUGGUGCCAGCAAAACUACCUCCAGAUCAACACGGUUAAAACCAAAGAACUGGUGGGGGAUUUCCGCAGGACUAAGUUCUCCUCACCCACUCCAGUGAACAUCCAGGGAAGGGACAUUGAAAUUGUCAAGACCUACAAGUACCUGGGUGUUCAUCUAAACAACAAACUGGACUGGUCUGACAACACACACCCUGUAUAAGAAAGGCCAGAGCAGACUCCACCUGCUGAGGAGGCUCCGGUCCUCUGGAAUACAGGGUGGACUUUUCCACUCUUUGUAUGACUCUAUGGUGGCAUCAGCCAUCUUCUAUGGCAUUUUCUGCUGGGGAGGUGGCAUUACUGCAGCAGACAGGAAGAAACUGGACAAGCUUAUCAGGAAGGCUGUCCUGGGCUGUGCGCUGGACCCAGUGGGGGAGGUGGGGGAGAGGAGGAUGUUGGCCAAGCUUGCAUCCAUAAUGGACAAACCCUCUCACCCACUACAGGAGGCAGCUGCAGCACUGGGCAGCUCCUUCAGUGACCGGCUCCUCCACAUGCGAUGCGGAAAAGAGAGAUGCCGCAGCUCCUUUCUCCCCACGGCCGGUCGGCUCUACAACCAGAACCUCCCCAAGCAGAGACUCAGACACUCUCCAUCAUAAACACACUAUGGAUUCACACCUCACUCCAUCAUAGUGCACUCCAUCACGAACUCACCACAUAGACCUGGAUCUUAUCCUACCACUAAUUAAUGUGCAGUAUGUGCUGCUGAUGGAUUGGUACAAGUGCAAUACACACACUAGUUCUGUGUGAUAUCUCUAAUCAUUACUGUACAAUAUCUACAGUUUCUGUGUGAUAUCCAGUCAUUACCUGCUCAGAAUGUGCAAUAUCCAUACAGCUGCAUGUUUAAACUGUAAAUUUGUACAGUUUCUUAAUUCUAUUUUUAUUUUUUGUAUUUUUUUCUGCUAACAGACACCUUGUUUAUUUAUUUAUUUCUAUAGUAUAUCAUAUAUUUAGUAUUUUGCAUGAUGGACAUCUUGUCUACUUACUGCUCUUUAUUUGCUUACUGUGUAUUCUGCUCUAACAAUGUAAAUUUCCCUCGAGUGGGAUAAUAAAAGCCUAUCCUAUCCUAUCCUAUCAGGCAGCCAAUGAAGUGAUGAUAGCACUGGACUAUUAUGAUCAGAUGUUCUAGUUUUAGUGAGGACCCUGGCUGCGGCGUUUUGGACUAGUUGGAGUUUGUUUAAAUUCCUGCUCGUGCAUCCUGACGGUAGCGCGUUACAGUAAUCUAGCCUGGAAGUAAUAAAGGCGUGUACUAGUGUUUCUGCAUCACGCAGGGACAGGGCAUUUCUGAUCUUGGCGAUGUUGUGAAGAUGUAGAAAAGCUGUCCUAGUGAUGCCGUCUGUGUGUUGAUCGAAUGAUAAAUCUGAAUCAGUUAUGAUGCCGAGAUUUUUUGCUGCUGAGCCAGGUGUGGCUUGAAAGUCGGCGAGAUUUAAAAUUAAAUCUGAGGACAAGUAGCACUAACAGGGAUACAUAGACUUGAUCAGAGACAAGAAGAAGAUCAUUAGUUAUCUUAACUAGAGCGUCUCAGUGCUGUGGUGUGGCCUGAAUCCAGAUUGGAAUUUUUCAUACAUAUGGUUCUUGUGUAGAUAUGAACUAAGUUAUUGGGCCACAGCUUUUUCUAAGAUCUUUGAUAUAAACGGUAAGUUAGAAACAGGCCUGUAAUUAGACAAAACGGUGACAUCAAGAUUUGGUUUCUUGAUCAGAGGUUUGAUAACUGCUAGUUUAAAAGCUUUGGGAACAUGGGGCAGUCAUGGGAUGGAGGUUAGGGAACUGGUCCUGUGAUUAGAAGGUUGUUGGUUCGAUCCCCAGCACCAACAGCACAUGAUUGAGGUGUUCUUGAGCAAAACAUCUAACCUCCAACUGCUCCCCGGGCGCCGUAGUUAGGGCUGCCCACCGCUCCGAGCAAGUGUGCUCACUGCCCCCUAGUGUGUAUGUGGUGUUUCACUUCAUGGAUGGGUUAAAUGCAGAGGUGGAAUUUCCCUGUUUGUGGGAUUAAAAAAGUAUCACUUAAAUUAACUUAUGAAAAGGGGGUUUAUAAUGACUGGCAGCACUUUGAGUAAUUUUGAGAGAAUUGCAUCGAGUGUGCAGGUUGUGUAGUUUGCAGAGGAGAUAAUCUUCUCUAGCUCCAGCUGUGGGAGUGGGUAAAAAGUUUCCAGCCUUUCUUCUACAACUGUGGAAUAUGUAAUACUGUUUAUUGGAUUUAAUACUGUG
Molecule: long non-coding RNA, 2695 nt
Organism: Pygocentrus nattereri (red-bellied piranha)
Lineage: Eukaryota; Metazoa; Chordata; Actinopteri; Characiformes; Serrasalmidae
Source: Ensembl